AAUAUACAAAUUAAAUCUUAAAAAAAUUAAACUGCAAAUUUAAUUGAGAAUUA
This 53-nucleotide transfer RNA is filed under the name Robertsicus elaphensis. Its description in RNAcentral is "tRNA-Cys". Lineage: Eukaryota; Metazoa; Arthropoda; Arachnida; Ixodida; Ixodidae. The record is from RNAcentral.